Molecule: ribosomal RNA, 462 nt
Filed under: uncultured bacterium
Lineage: Bacteria
Description: partial 16S ribosomal RNA
Rfam family: Bacterial small subunit ribosomal RNA
Source: RNAcentral
GACGAAUGCUGGCGGCGUGCUUAACACAUGCAAGUCGAACGGAAAGGCCCUGCUUGCAGGGUACUCGAGUGGCGAACGGGUGAGUAACACGUGGGUGAUCUGCCCUGCACUUCGGGAUAAGCCUGGGAAACUGGGUCUAAUACCGGAUAGGAGCCAUUUUUAGUGCGAUGGUUGGAAAGUUUUUUCGGUGUAGGAUGAGCUCGCGGCCUAUCAGCUUGUUGGUGGGGUAAUGGCCUACCAAGGCGGCGACGGGUAGCCGGCCUGAGAGGGUGGACGGCCACAUUGGGACUGAGAUACGGCCCAGACUCCUACGGGAGGCAGCAGUGGGGAAUAUUGCACAAUGGGCGCAAGCCUGAUGCAGCGACGCCGCGUGGGGGAUGACGGCCUUCGGGUUGUAAACUCCUUUCGCUAGGGACGAAGCUUUUGUGACGGUACCUAGAUAAGAAGCACCGGCUAACUACG